UAAACAGCAAAGUCUCCCCUAAAAAGCACAGCUCCUGUUCCUUAUACAAAGGGUGAGGGAACGAGGUGAUUGAAAUUUCUGAAUAUGUAAUUAACAUCUGUGUGAUUAGGGGCUCCCCCGCAACACUCUAGUUCUAUCUGAU
Molecule: small nucleolar RNA, 142 nt
Filed under: Sorex araneus (European shrew)
Lineage: Eukaryota; Metazoa; Chordata; Mammalia; Eulipotyphla; Soricidae
Description: U8 small nucleolar RNA (ENSSARG00000018631.1)
Source: RNAcentral